UACAGAGGGUGCGAGCGUUAAUCGGAAUUACUGGGCGUAAAGCGCACGUAGGUGGCUUUGCAAGUCGAUUGUGAAAUCCCCGGGCUUAACCUGGGAACUGCAGUCGAGACUGCUUUGCUUGAGUAUGGGAGAGGGAGGUGGAAUUUCCGGUGUAGCGGUGAAAUGCGUAGAUAUCGGAAGGAACAUCAGUGGCGAAGGCGACCUCCUGGACCAAUACUGACACUCAAGUGCGAAAGCGUGGGGAGCAAACAGGAUUAGAAACCCCCGUAGUCC
Molecule: ribosomal RNA, 273 nt
Filed under: uncultured bacterium
Lineage: Bacteria
Description: partial 16S ribosomal RNA
Rfam family: Bacterial small subunit ribosomal RNA
Source: RNAcentral